GUGUACAUUCCAAGACCAAAUGUCUUUACAGCUAACAUGGACGUCUUCACCGAUCUGAGGACGUUAAGCAAGCUUACAGGUUACAUACCGACUUCCCAAGUGACCAGGCUGACAACAAAGGUGCCCAAUAUCAUCACUCAAGGUUUCCCUACGAGACCAUGCAGGAUUGGAGGAAGUCAAAGAAAGCCCUCCUAACAAGGAUGUACCGCCACAAGGACGCCC
Molecule: long non-coding RNA, 222 nt
Organism: Mya arenaria
Lineage: Eukaryota; Metazoa; Mollusca; Bivalvia; Myida; Myidae
Exons: 3
Source: RefSeq, a predicted model, not a curated record